RNAcentral lists this long non-coding RNA (1003 nucleotides) under Medicago truncatula (barrel medic). RNAcentral describes it as "long non-coding RNA (MTRU_LNC002926)". The record is from RNAcentral. Lineage: Eukaryota; Viridiplantae; Streptophyta; Magnoliopsida; Fabales; Fabaceae.
AUUUGCUUAACUAGAAUUCGUAGGUCGGAUCAUUCUUAGCAAUAUCACUAUACGUACUCUUGAUGGUUAACAUUCUAUAUCUUUUGAAUCGUGGGUGAAGUUGACGAUGAGCAUUUUUCGACAAUAUUAAUAUUAUAGAAGUGCUAUAUUAUAUUAUAUGAUAUUAUAUUUAUGCAUACAAAACAAUAGCAUAUUGAAUCAUCAUGAAUAAGUAGGCUUUGUCAACAAAAAAAAAAAAAGUAGAUAUUGAUUUCUCUUGCAAAAGCACUCCAAGCUAUUGUAACUACUAGAUUUUAAACUAUAUUAACUCUCAUUCAUCAGCGGUGGAAUAUUAAGGGAACAAAAAAGAUUAAAAUAGAAAAGAAAAAGAACAAAAUAUAAUUAAAUUCCAAAAUAUGUAGCUAGCUAGCAUCUUCAUGGAGGUGGUGUUUGAUGUCCUACCCCAGGGCUAUGUCCUGGACUUGUAGGGCGAAAAGCAUCGUCACCACCCUUAUCAUCGUUUAUCGAAUACCAAUAAUCAUGUGAAGGAGCUUGUGGACUUUUAGGAAUAGUUGGUGGUGGAUUAAUAUUUAGCAACCUUGAUGCUUCAAUUGAACCAAUGUUUUGUUGCAUAAUAAUAAGAAGUAAAAAUGUUAAUAACAUGGUUUUCUCACCCAUGAUGAAACUCUUUAAGCUAAAAGAGGUUACAAAAAAAAUUUAAUGAGGUUUGAAUGGAGGAAGAGAAAAAAAAGAGAGGGUGAUUUUGAAUAAAAAUCUAGCUGAAUGCAAUGAUGCAAGUGAUAUAGAGUGAGAGUGAGAUUGGUAUUUAACAUGAUUGUUAAGGUCCCACGUGCAAUACAUGAUAUUCAUAAGCCUUCAACAUGAACAUAAAAUAAGAGUUUGAUGCACAUGGUGAUGUCUCUUAAAAAUUAAUGAAAGUGUAUAAAUAGAAAGAAAAUUGCAAGCAUUGGAAUAUUUUCCAGAUGAAGCAAGUUCAGCACUCUAUGCCCUAUUACAAUUUCCU